CUCUUUCUCUCUCUCUCUCUCUUGGUGCCUUCCUCAGCUGGAAUUUAUAUCAGUUCUCUUUGUGAUCUGAAAUCAGAUUACCUUGUCAAGGAUCGAAGGUAGCUUCACUCGAAAUUAAGAUUUCUGCAAUAUUUUCUUUUACUUAUUUGCCUUUUGAUCUCAUCUUUGAUUUCGAUUUGGUAGUUUCAAGCUGGUUCUGGAUUUUCAUAAUUUUGUGUGGGCCUAUUGGUUGGCAUGGAUUUGCUUUCUUUUCUUUCGUAAAUUUUAAGUGUUCUUCCUUUUUCUUUCCAUUCGUAACUCAGAUUCAGAUUCGCUACUAUAAGUUAGGUAUUUGAUACAUUCAUUAAUUUUAUUUAUUUAUUUUGAGUAAAAUUUUUGAUAGUUUGUCUCUAGGGAAGUGGAAGUUAUAGCGGCUACUGUUUGCAUUUAAAUUUGAUAAUCAAUGGAAGGAAAGCUUGUCGGGUCUUCUUUUGUUUUGAAUGUGAUCAAUGGAUCAUAAGAAGGCAUGACUUCAUGUGAGAUGCUGAAGUACUUGAUAUUUUGAAGCUUUUUUUCCCCUGUGCAGUUACAUCUUCAUCAGAAAUGGCUAACAGAGUUCAAAUCCCAACUAGCAAUUCUGCACUUAUUGCAAUGAUUGCUGAUGAGGACUCAGUAGUUGGAUUUUUGCUUGCUGGAGUUGGCAACGUUGACUUGAGACGGAAGUCAAAUUACCUCCUUGUAGACUCAAAAACAACUGUGAAACAAAUUGAAGAUGCAUUUAAAGAUUUCACAACAAGGGAGGAUAUUGCUAUAGUGCUGAUUAGUCAAUAUGAUUUGUGUAGGGUAUUUCCUUGCUGGUUUAAUGCCUUCUUUCCACGGACUGCUGAUUCCCCUUGGUUGCAAAUAUGGUAAGGUUUUUGGUAGAUAGUUAUAACAAGCCAGUUCCAGCAAUUCUGGAAAUACCUUCAAAGGACCAUCCUUAUGAUCCUGCACAGGAUUCAGUUCUUUCACGAGUGAAGCACCUCUUCUCAGCUGAGUCAGUGGCAUCCGGGAGACGUUAAGCACAUAUUGUGAGUUGAUACUUACGUGUAUGUCAUGUUUUAUUCACCUCUCUCUCAAGCUUGUAUGCGGAAUAGAUCUUAUUAUGCCUUUAGAAUUGCUUCUCUUUUGUCCAUUUGUUAUUGAGAUAUCUUUAUGAGCAUCUGUUGGUCGAUAAUUUUAAUAAAUGAUUCUACCAACUGAACUGCAAUAUCAGUAACAGUUUUUAUUUUAGUUUAUUUUAAUGAUAUUAUUGGCUCUUAUUGCAACUUAAA
Molecule: unclassified non-coding RNA, 1292 nt
Filed under: Hevea brasiliensis (rubber tree)
Lineage: Eukaryota; Viridiplantae; Streptophyta; Magnoliopsida; Malpighiales; Euphorbiaceae
Source: RNAcentral